Molecule: long non-coding RNA, 2424 nt
Filed under: Anthonomus grandis grandis
Lineage: Eukaryota; Metazoa; Arthropoda; Insecta; Coleoptera; Curculionidae
Description: uncharacterized LOC126737936
Source: RNAcentral
AUGGAUAAUUUAUCGACCUCAAACUUUUGUAUUACAAAUAGCUACCCUAACCGUGAUACAUCAUUUAAAGAGCACACAAUCUUCUAAUUCAAUUCUGAUCUUCACAAUCUAACCAAAUCGAAAAAAAAAAAACAAAAUAGGCUAACGUAUAAGCGAAUAGUAAGCAAAAAUGUGUGGUGAUAAACAGUUCAUUGAGUCCUAAUAUUUUAGUGUGGUGUUGGGAUACUAUAAAUACUAUAAGUAAAAUACUAUAAAUAACUAUAAGUAAACUAACUUAGCCCCUUUAAGAAAUAAAUAUUAAAAUGUGUGUUGUGCUGUAUUUGACCUUGCGCUCUGUUUUGUUUUAAAAUGCAAGCCUCGUGAUUCGAAAUAUUUUUAGUGAUUUACUGGCUUGGAUACUGUGUGUAUUUAAGAGUAAUAUAAUCGCAUUUUUGUGGCAAUAUGUCUAGUUCGGACGAAAAUAGAAGCGCUGAAAGUGAAGAGAAGCUAUCUGAAUCAGAUAAUCUUAGAAGGAGACGACGAGGUGUGAGAAAUGAUGAUAAUUAUCAAACAAAUUUAAUCAAAAAAGCUAGAAUCAGUGGUACUGCGUAUAAAGAUUAUUAAGGCAAGAUGGUUGCUGCCAGGCAAAUCAGAGGUGCUUGCAAAUGUAAAAUGCAGUGUUUUACUAAGCUAAAUGAUGAGCAAAAGCAAAUAGUGUUUGAGAAUUUCUACAAAAUGCAUAACAAGGAUGAACAGGAUAUAUAUCUUCAAGGUCUGAUUCAUCAGAAAAAUAUGGCAAACCGAAGAAGUCAGAAAAAUUAAAACAGUAAAGUAAGGGAAGUAUCUUUUGAUCAUUUUAUUCGCGUUGGGAACUCAGAGUAAAAGUAUGUUUUAAGGCUUUUUUAAAUUUACAUUCUCUAUCUGAAAAAAGAAUCAAGAGAAUAAAAUCAUUGAUUAAAAAUAAUGUGACUCCCAGAGAUAAACGUGGAAAAAAUAUUAAACGGGCAAUGCCGGAAGAUCAAAACAUAUAAAUUCGUCAGCACAUUGAAAGCUAUCCAGUAAAAGAAAGUCACUAUUCGGGAAAAGAAUAUAAAUAUCUAGAUAGUAGAUUUAAUAUAAAAAUUAUGUACGAAAUGUUUAGAUCCAAGUAUCCUGAAACGAAAAUUAAAUACAGCUAUUAUUAUAAAUUUUUUCGCGAAAACUUUACUUUACUGAAAUUUGGGCGUCCUCAAAUAGACACAUGCAUAAAAUAUGAAGAGUUGAAUUUAAAAAUUAAAAGUCCCUCUCUAGGAGAUGCCUCAAAAAAGUGGCUGUUGCUGAAUUGUUGGUACACAAAAAGAGGGCCAACAAGUUUUAUACGAAGCUAAAGGAUACUAUUAAAGAGUGUCACGAUAGGGACGACGUGGUAGGGCUCGCAUUUGACUAUAUGCAAAAUGUUCAUUUACCACAUAUACCUGUACAAGAAGUCUUCUAUAAGACCCAACUAACGGUUAAUGUAUUUUGCAUACAUAAUCUUAAAACGGAAAAUUCUUUUUUUUAUAUUUAUCAAGAGGGACAGGCCAAUAAGGGUCGUAAUGAAGUAUGCACCUUUUUGCUUGAUUGUAUAAAAAAUAUUAUACCACCCAACAUAAAAGAGUUAAGACUUUUUUGUGACAACUGCCCUGGGCAAAAUAAGAACCACGCUAUUAUAAGAUUAUGUUUGGCCCUUAUAGAUAUGAGGCGCUUCAAUAAAAUUAAGCAUUAUUUUCCCAUUAGAGGUCACUCCUUUUUGCCCUUUGACAGGGAUUUUGGUGUCAUAAAAAGAUACCUAAAAAAAUUUGACAGAAUAUUUCAAAUUCAUAAGUACACAGAAAUUAUUGUCAAUUCAAGUGCCAAACGCAAGUUUACUGUAAAAGAAGUUAAACCUAGAGAUUCUUGAUUUUAAGCAAUGGUGGUCUAAGUAUUAUAAAAAGACAAGCUUGUCUACUGAAUCUCAAAAAAUAAAUGUUCCUCGAUCUCAAAAAGCUUCUUUUGCAUUCAACAUUUAAUGAUUAUGUAUAUAGCUCUAAAACUUCAGGUUAUGUAAGGGCAUCGGAUUAUAUUAUUAGCAUUUUUGGUGUUAAUCACUUCCAUUUGGCUUUACCGAAACACAACAGCCAAUUUAGUAUUGAAUGGCCCGAAAUACCAGCAUAUCCUGAAGACAUGGUGCCAAUUUUGGAAACAAAAAUAGCCCAUUUGCAAAGCCUUAAUCAAUGGGUACCAGAAGAUAAGCAGGAAUUUUACGUCCACAUUAUAAAUUCCUGGAAAACCACGAAAUCCAAAGCUAAAUAACCUGAACCAUCUUAAUAGAACUGAAAACCAUGGUUUUUUCGAUUUUGUUUUAAACUUUGUGAGAAUAAUGUUUUAUUUCUAUUUUUUAUAUGUAUUAUAAUAUUACUUUAAUUUUGAUUAUAUGUAUAUAUUUUU